AAUCAUCCACGUAAGAAACUGAAUACUCAUUCAUUGGUGCUACUGAAGAGGUGCUAACAAAGUCCUUAUACUGAGAAGUGCUCAAGAUGUCCUUAGAAUGAGAGUCUGGCACUGUUGUGUACAGAAUAUCUCUCGAAUGAAAGAUAGGUUUCUCUCCUUCCCUGUAGGAUUCCAUUACAGGUAACUUAUCCCUUGAAUGGUAUACAGGUUUCUCUCCUUCUCUGUAGGAUUCCAUUAUUGGUAACUUGUCCCUCGAAUGGAACACAUGCUUCUCUUCUUUGUAGGAUUCCAUAGCUGCCAACUUAUCAGAAGGAAUUGGCUGAUGGUUCCUUGAAUGGUACGCAUGUUUCUCUUCUUUGUAAGAUUCCAUAGCUGCCAACUUAUCAGAAGGAAUUGGCUGACGCUCCCUUGAAUGGAACGCAUGUUUCUCUCCUUUGUAAGAUUCCAUAGCUGCCAACUUAUCAGAAGGAAUUGGCUGACGGUCCCUUGAAUGGUACGCAUGUUUCCCUUCUUGGUAAGAUUCCAUAGCUGCCAACUUAUCAGAAGGAAUUGGCUGACGAUCCCUUGAAUGGUACGCAGGUUUCCCUUCUUGGUAAGAUUCCAUAGCUGCCAACUUAUCAGAAGGAAUUGGCUGACGGUCCCUUGAAUGGUACGCAUGUUUCCCUUCUUGGUAAGAUUCCAUAGCUGCCAACUUAUCAGAAGGAAUUGGCUGACGGUCCCUUGAAU
This 726-nucleotide long non-coding RNA is filed under the name Citrus maxima (pomelo). RNAcentral's name for it is "long non-coding RNA (CMAX_LNC003057)". Lineage: Eukaryota; Viridiplantae; Streptophyta; Magnoliopsida; Sapindales; Rutaceae. The record is from RNAcentral.